AGCGGCGGACGGGUGAGUAAUGCCUAGGAAAUUGCCCUGAUGUGGGGGAUAACCAUUGGAAACGAUGGCUAAUACCGCAUGAUGCCUACGGGCCAAAGAGGGGGACCUUCGGGCCUCUCGCGUCAGGAUAUGCCUAGGUGGGAUUAGCUAGUUGGUGAGGUAAGGGCUCACCAAGGCGACGAUCCCUAGCUGGUCUGAGAGGAUGAUCAGCCACACUGGAACUGAGACACGGUCCAGACUCCUACGGGAGGCAGCAGUGGGGAAUAUUGCACAAUGGGCGCAAGCCUGAUGCAGCCAUGCCGCGUGUAUGAAGAAGGCCUUCGGGUUGUAAAGUACUUUCAGUCGUGAGGAAGGCGGUGUCGUUAAUAGCGGCAUCGUUUGACGUUAGCGACAGAAGAAGCACCGGCUAACUCCGUGCCAGCAGCCGCGGUAAUACGGAGGGUGCGAGCGUUAAUCGGAAUUACUGGGCGUAAAGCGCAUGCAGGUGGUUUGUUAAGUCAGAGUGUGAAAGCCCGGGGCUCAACCUCGGAAUAGCAUUUGAAACUGGCAGACUAGAGUACUGUAGAGGGGGGUAGAAUUUCAGGUGUAGCGGUGAAAUGCGUAGAGAUCUGAAGGAAUACCGGUGGCGA
RNAcentral lists this ribosomal RNA (629 nucleotides) under Vibrio sp. GWS-SE-H223. RNAcentral's name for it is "bacterial SSU rRNA". It matches the Rfam family "Bacterial small subunit ribosomal RNA", at positions 94 to 718 of the family's 1533-position model. Lineage: Bacteria; Pseudomonadati; Pseudomonadota; Gammaproteobacteria; Vibrionales; Vibrionaceae. The record is from RNAcentral.